CCUACGGGAGGCUGCAGUGAGGAAUAUUGGUCAAUGGGCGCGAGCCUGAACCAGCCAAGCCGCGUGAGGGAAGAAGGUACAGCGUAUCGUAAACCUCUUUUGUCAGGGAACAAAGGCGGGGACUAGUCCCCGGAUGAGGGUACCUGAAGAAAAAGCAUCGGCUAACUCCGUGCCACCAGCCGCGGUAAUACGGAGGAUGCGAGCGUUAUCCGGAGUUAUUGGGUUUAAGGGGUGCGCAGGCGGCCUGGUAAGUCAGCGGGAAAAGCCCGGGGCUCAACCCCGGCUAGCCGUUGAAACUGGCGGGCUGGAGUUGGCGAGAAGUACGCGGAAUGCGCGGUGUAGCGGUGAAAUGCUUAGAUAUCGCGCAGAACCCCGAUUGCGAAGGCAGCGUACCGGCUCCACACUGACGCUGAGGCACGAAAGCGUGGGUAUCGAACAGGAUUAGAUACCCGGGUAGUC
RNAcentral lists this ribosomal RNA (459 nucleotides) under uncultured bacterium. RNAcentral describes it as "partial 16S ribosomal RNA". It matches the Rfam family "Bacterial small subunit ribosomal RNA", at positions 338 to 795 of the family's 1533-position model. The record is from RNAcentral.